AUUGAACGCUGGCGGCAGGCCUAACACAUGCAAGUCGAGCGGUAGAGAGAAGCUUGCUUCUCUUGAGAGCGGCGGACGGGUGAGUAAUGCCUAGGAAUCUGCCUGGUAGUGGGGGAUAACGUUCGGAAACGGACGCUAAUACCGCAUACGUCCUACGGGAGAAAGCAGGGGACCUUCGGGCCUUGCGCUAUCAGAUGAGCCUAGGUCGGAUUAGCUAGUUGGUGGGGUAAUGGCUCACCAAGGCGACGAUCCGUAACUGGUCUGAGAGGAUGAUCAGUCACACUGGAACUGAGGCACGGUCCAGACUCCUACGGGAGGCAGCAGUGGGGAAUAUUGGACAAUGGGCGAAAGCCUGAUCCAGCCAUGCCGCGUGUGUGAAGAAGGUCUUCGGAUUGUAAAGCACUUUAAGUUGGGAGGAAGGGCAGUAAAUUAAUACUUUGCUGUUUUGACGUUACCGACAGAAUAAGCACCGGCUAACACUGUGCCAGCCGCCGCCGUAA
RNAcentral lists this ribosomal RNA (500 nucleotides) under uncultured bacterium. Its description in RNAcentral is "partial 16S ribosomal RNA". It matches the Rfam family "Bacterial small subunit ribosomal RNA", at positions 30 to 523 of the family's 1533-position model. The record is from RNAcentral.